ACGACAUCUCUUGUUAUUUCAUGUGCAGCUUCAUUGUACGCUUCUUGUUAGCCAGUUGCUUGAAAUAUUACAUUCGACAAUUAAACGUUGAAAAUUUUCAUUUUUUAAAUGACGUGUAACGUAUGACCAGUGGCGGAUCUUGAACUUAUAAAUAGAUGGGCCAAAAGUUUUAAAGAAAAAAACAUAUAAGAAGGGUCGGAUCCAAUACAUAAAAAAUUUUUAAAAUUUUCGGUAAAAUUUACAUUGUUAGGUGAAAAAAACAUAGGAGUCACGGCCCAUCUGGGUGUUUGGCAACUUCUGAAUGGUUAAGUGCUGAACCAAUAAUAGGUCUAAAUCAUUAAAUACUGAACCAGUAAGAGGUCUGAACGAUUAAGAGCUAGUAUAAUGUUUAACCGUUCAGAGGCAAAUGUUGGACUAAUUCAAAUUAGAUGUCUUAACCAUUCAGACUCAGUAUAAUAGUUAAUUAUUCAGAGAAUGUCUGAACUAUUCAAACAUUUGUUGGCGAAACAAACAAUCUGAACCAUUAAGUGUUGAACCAGUAAGAGGUCUGAACUAUUAAAAAUCUCAUUAAAAGCUAAACCAACAGCCACUAAGUAGCUUUAAUACAUGAACGAUCUAUAUAAGAAAGAUUCAAAUACGUAGGAUGGUAUUAUAUCAUAUUUUGGAAUAAACUUAAAAGUUACAACAAAUAAAGGUGAAGAUUCCUUGAAUAUCAAGUUUCAAACCACUUUAACCGUUAUUAAGGUUUCUGCAAACGAAAGACAAGGAACAAGUCGGUG
Molecule: long non-coding RNA, 779 nt
Filed under: Helianthus annuus (common sunflower)
Lineage: Eukaryota; Viridiplantae; Streptophyta; Magnoliopsida; Asterales; Asteraceae
Source: RNAcentral